Molecule: transfer RNA, 76 nt
Filed under: Ruminococcus sp.
Lineage: Bacteria; Bacillati; Bacillota; Clostridia; Eubacteriales; Oscillospiraceae
Description: tRNA-Ala
Rfam family: tRNA
About the family: Transfer RNA (tRNA) molecules are approximately 80 nucleotides in length. Their secondary structure includes four short double-helical elements and three loops (D, anti-codon, and T loops).
Source: RNAcentral
GGGGUAUUAGCGCAGCUGGGAGCGCAUCACACUGGCAGUGUGGGGGUCAGGGGUUCGAAUCCCCUAUGCUCCACCA